GACGAACGCUGGCGGCGUGCCUAAUACAUGCAAGUCGAACGCAUUUUCUUUCACCGUAGCUUGCUACACCGAAAGAAAAUGAGUGGCGAACGGGUGAGUAACACGUGGGUAACCUGCCCAUCAGCGGGGGAUAACACUUGGAAACAGGUGCUAAUACCGCAUAAUUCCAUUUACCGCAUGGUAGAUGGGUGAAAGGCGCUUUUGCGUCACUGAUGGAUGGACCCGCGGUGCAUUAGCUAGUUGGUGGGGUAACGGCCUACCAAGGCUGCGAUGCAUAGCCGACCGGGGGGGGUGAUGGGCCACACGGGGACUGGGAACCGGCCCAGACUCCUACGGGGGGAAGGAGUAGGGAAUCUUCGGAAAGGGACGCAAGUCUGCCCGGGAAACGCCGGGUGAGUGAAGAAGUUUUUCGGAUCGUAAAACUCUGUUUUUAGAGAAAAAAAAGGAUGGGAGGGGAAAGUUAACCCCUGGGCGGGAUCUAACCAGAAAGCCGCGGUUAACUACGU
Molecule: ribosomal RNA, 506 nt
Filed under: uncultured bacterium
Lineage: Bacteria
Description: partial 16S ribosomal RNA
Rfam family: Bacterial small subunit ribosomal RNA
Source: RNAcentral